UCUCCGUAGGUGAACCUGCGGAGGGAUCAUUACAGGGUUCUCGCCCUCGCGGGUACAUCUCCCACUCACUGUUAUCGUUACUGUGUUGCUUUGGCGGGCCGCCGGGCCCCGCUCGGCCGCCGGCCCCGGCUGGCGCGCGCCCGCCAGAGGCCCAGCAAACUCUGAAUGUUAGUGUCGUCUGAGUACUAUAUAAUAGUUAAAACUUUCAACAACGGAUCUCUUGGUUCUG
RNAcentral lists this unclassified non-coding RNA (229 nucleotides) under plant metagenome. RNAcentral describes it as "partial contains small subunit ribosomal RNA, internal transcribed spacer 1, and 5.8S ribosomal RNA". The record is from RNAcentral.